AUUGAACGCUGGCGGCAUGCUUUACACAUGCAAGUCGAACGGCAGCGCGGGCUUCGGCCUGGCGGCGAGUGGCGAACGGGUGAGCAAUGCAUCGGAACGUGCCCAGUAGUGGGGGAUAGCCCGGCGAAAGCCGGAUUAAUACCGCAUACUACCUGCGGGUGAAAGCGGGGGACCGAAAGGCCUCGCGCUAUUGGAGCGGCCGAUGUCGGAUUAGCUAGUUGGUGGGGUAAAGGCUUACCUAGGCGACGAUCCGUAGCUGGUCUGAGAGGACGACCAGCCACACUGGGACUGAGACACGGCCCAGACUCCUAAGGGAGGCAGCAGAGGGGAAUGUUGGACAAUGGGGGCAACCCUGAUCCAGCCAGGCCGCGUGCGGGAAGAAGGCCUUCGGGUUGUAAACAGCGUUUGUUGGGGAAGAAAUCCUCUGGGCUAAGACGCAGGGGGGAUGACGGUACCGGAAGAAUAAGCACCGGCUAACUACGUG
Molecule: ribosomal RNA, 484 nt
Filed under: uncultured bacterium
Lineage: Bacteria
Description: partial 16S ribosomal RNA
Rfam family: Bacterial small subunit ribosomal RNA
Source: RNAcentral